Long non-coding RNA from Aethalodelphis obliquidens (Pacific white-sided dolphin), 5954 nucleotides. RefSeq lists it as uncharacterized. The record is from RefSeq and is a predicted model, not a curated record. Lineage: Eukaryota; Metazoa; Chordata; Mammalia; Artiodactyla; Delphinidae. The transcript has 3 exons.
ACCCGUGUCCCCUGCAUCGGCAGGCGGACUCUCAACCACUGCGCCACCAGGGAAGCCCUGGUUCUACCUUUUGAAUUGUGCCUUCCACACUUCUUCUUGGCUGUAAUAGCUCUUCAAACUCAAGCAUUCACAACCAGACCUGUUAUUUUGUUAUUUUCCCCUUCAGACCAAAUAUACCCUUCUACUUCUCAUCUCUGGUGGUUGUCCUGUGUAUUCUCUGACCCUGUAGGCUGGAAUCCUCAGAGCAUCCCUUAACUCAUCUUUCUCCCAUACCUUGCCAUUCACCAGGUCUGGUUGAUUUUUCUUUCCUAGUUGUCUUUGUGGUCUUAGAGGAAGGAAAGAAAUUAGCAUUUAUUGUCUGCUUGGUGCUGCAUUUUGGGCUAGGGAAAUCAUCUCAUUGCAUCCCCAGAUCUUAUGCGGUAGGUAGAUCUUGUGUCCCUGGGUGCUCUGAGAGAUCAAGGCACCUGCCCAGGACUGCCCAGGUGGGCAGCAGCAGAGACAGGAGUCUCGCCUGAUGCCAGGGGUGCAGGCUCUCAUCGCCUCACAAGACACCAGCUGCCCUUUUACUCUCGGCCUCUGCCCUUCCAUUCGCCCUUCAUGCUAAUCUACUCUCAGCAUUUCUCCUGUCACUCUUCUGCUCAAAAACCUUCAGUGGCUCCCGAUUUCCCACCAGAGGCAUAGCAUUUUCAUUUUGAAUAUGAAGACACUGAAGCCCAGAAGAAGGGAGAAAGUUGUCCCCAAGGAUGUGGCUAGCAAGUAGUUGGCUGUGGUUUGAACUUCCAGAACUUCUGACUCUAAGUCUACCGUGCUGUGCUUCUCAGCUGUUGAAGAUCUCCCGCCCAGUUCUCAAGGCCCCCCAUCUCCCCACCUAACCUCAUUUCCCACACUGACAGAACUCAGCUUCCAGGCCCUUUGACCAGUUUCCUUCACCCUAACUCUGAGGCCACUAACUCUGGCCUCUUAGCCACCUUUGCUUAUGUCCCUAACUUGCCGGGAUGUUUUCCUCCCUUCCUUGUACCCAUCUUAGCCCCUCACUUGCCUCAGGCCUCACCUCCUCCCAGAAACCUGCUUCACUUAGUUUUCAUGGAUCUCACUCCCUAAAUUCCACACCACAUAAUUAAUUACACACUUAAUCAUAGAUUAUUAAUGAUAGAUUUGUCUUGUACUGUUUGCUGCUGUUUCCUAUGUCAGAACCUCUUCUCCUCUGGGGACCGUGUCUUCUAGGUUUGUUUUUCUGCUUCACCUUGUUGGGGGAAGGAGGUGACUUAGCUUCAAACAAGCACCUGGAAAGGAACCAAACCUUGCAUUGGUUUUGUCCCUCACGGUGCUCUGUAAGUGCUUGUCCAUCAGUUGGGACCUUCUCUGGUGAUGAGAAUCUCCAGCUGCCCUUUCACUCCUGGAUGAUGCCGCAGACUCAUUGGGGACGAGCCUCCCCAACUCCACCGUGGGGAAGUGGUGACAGGCCGUGCAGCAUGGCAUCUGGAAGUGGGGGCUUUCACCUGCUGGUGGUGCCUGGUAACACCACAGAGUUUGCAGUAAAGAGGACGGAGUGAGAAUUCCAGUGUUCCUCUGUGUGGAGGGCAGAUGCCAAAGGGAAACAGAAGUUCAUUCAGACCGGGAAGAAGGCCCAGUCUGGCGCCUGUCUACGUGGUUACUGCUGUCUUAUUAUUUGUGGCCCCCACCAGAGAGGCCAUCUGCCUGACAGCCGUCCUCAGCCCUCUUUCUCUCCUUCAGGUGACCAGCCGUGAGUGGGGUAGGGGGAGAGUUAAUAGGAGCUUUUACAUUUUUAUCUUUUUAUAAUUUAUAAAAACGUUCUUUUAUUAUUGAAGUUUUCACACACGCCAAAGUUGAGAAAACAGGACGCUGGGCCUUCUUUUUCCCAACGCUCGGCUGUAACACUUACCAGUAUUUUGUUGGUCUUGUCUCCUCCCCUCGUAGCUUUGGUUUUUUGUUUUGUUGUUGUCUGUGGCCACCUAGCGCAGCAUGUGGGAUCUUAGCUCCCCGACCAGGGAUCAAACCAGUGCCGCCUGCAGUGGAAGCGUGGAGUCUUAACCACUGGACCGCCAGGGAAGUCCCUGUAGCUUUGUUUGUAAAAAUACUGUACAGUUUGGUCUGGCCUUAGUGAUUAGUGGCGUUAUUUUUUUUUCCCUCAGCAAUUUGUCCCUGUUGCUCAGAGCAGUGCAGGCAAAUGGUUCUCAGGCCACUGUCCUGGCACAUGGGGCUGCCUGGCUCUGCCCAUUCAUUUGUUGUUUGUCUGUCUUUCUUUGAUCCUGUUUCUCCACUUGCAUUCGUGACAUUCUGGUCAAGAGCCGGUUCCAGUGGUCUUUAAUCAGAGGACUUUGGAAGCCUGUGAGGGUCUCUUUUGGUCAUCACGGUGACUGGGGGUGCUGCUACUGGCAUUUAGGCUGGAGGCUGGCAGGGGUCCAGGUGUGGGGAGCACAGAUGUUCAACAGCCAUAGCUGUGAGGGACCGUUCUGCAUUGUGAACACCUGUUCCAUCCACACUCGGUCAUGCUGCUGGGCACGCCUAAUGUACGAUGUGGAUUGGGGAUUGCCUUUCUCUUCAUGCCUUUUAUAAACGCUUAAAAGUUUGAUAUAAUCCAUUUGUUGAUCACCGUUGAUUCAUGUAAUCAGGUGACUGUAACUAGCCUCUGGUCCUUUCUGAGGGUUCAUCCUUGGUUGCAAACCCUUUGGUUGUUUUACGUGGGAAAAUGGGGUAUCUUGCAGCCUGUGCCCCAGCUUUCUCGUUGCCUGUCCCACGCCUUAUCACUGGCAUCCUGCCAGGCCCAGUGGAGAAUGGGGAUGGAGACAGUGACAUUCAGCCGCAGGUCAUUCACAGCUUUUGGUGCCCUGGGGGCAGCUGAGAGGGAGGUUGUGGAAGAUCAUCCUUGAAGGGAUUGUAAACUCCUGGGGGCAGGGCUUGGUGGCUAUUCUCCUGCCUCUUCCGGCCAUCAGCCUGCUGCUGCUGGGAAGGAAGCGCCCCUUAGCAGGCGGUAGCUGAUUAUCUCGGGUGCAGUCGGGGAGCCUCUGCAGGCAGAACAUGGAAAGUGACAACUUCUGAGUUCUUUUUAUUUUCAGUCUCACUCGAGAUGGAUGGCAGCCUUCCACUGUGGGAAAUGAAAUGUGUUCAGGCAACUUGGGCCCCAGGCGCAGAUGAGAAUGGGCUAAUGGGCACGGAGGAAGGAGCGGGGCUGGAGGGGAGAGGCACACUGUUAGUCAUUACUAAUCCGUGACAGCUGCCAGCCAGCCGCUGGCGGUUAGCACCCUACUGCGCCUGGGACACAGGGCCUCUGGGCCUGUCCUUUCUGGAACACUCCAGGGCCCAAACUGUCUCAACUUGUGUGCUGUUCAAACCUCAAAUCCGCAUGGAAGAUGCAAUUGGCCAGGCCGGCAGUGUCAGCAUGGGAUGCUGAGUGUGGGCCCUGCAGUGCCGAGGCCAUCGCCAUGAUGGCAAACAAGGGUGGUCCAUGCUGUCUAAUAGAAGAGACAAGAUUGCAAAAACGUAGCUGGGAUUCAGUGUGAUGAGCGUACUCACGGAGGGAGGUGCUGCAGCCCUUGAACUGGUAUUGUGAGCCACAGGGAGGUCGUGCUGAGUGGGUCAGGAGAGCUUCCCAGAGGAGGAGGUAUUUGGGGUGGGUCCUAAUGAGUAAGUAAAAUGUAACCAUUCAUAGGUACUCAAGGCAGAGAAAGGGAAUUCUAGGCAGAGGGGAUGGCAUGGAUAAAAACAUGAAGGCCUGAAGAAACAUGGUGAGUUCAAGACCCUUGUGUAUAUUUGGUGUGGCUAGAGUGUAGACAGUGCGCCUUAACUCUUAACACCAACCCUAUGGGGUGGGUAAUUAGGAUUAGCCCCACUUUACACUUGAGGACACUGAGGCACGGACAGGAUAGUAACUUGGCGAAGCAGAAGCUGAGGUUAGAGGCAGGCCUCCCAUUAGCUCAGAGAAGGUUUCCUGAGUUGUUCUGAAAAGCGUGCAUUUGAUCUUGAAGGCAGAGGGAGAAACUGAAGGUGAUUAAACAGGGCGGGCCUGGGUGAAAUGUGCCUUUUCUAGAGAUUGCUCUGGCAGUGUGCCCUCCACAAGUGAAGCAUCACUUGAGGUUUGUUUCAUAAGUGAACACUUGAAUGCUUUGCUGUCAAGUUUGUUUUGAAUCAAGCACCUAGUUAUUUCCUAGUAUGUGUCCCGCCCUCCCCCCACCCCAUUGUAGCUUUUGUUGAUGUUGUUUCUCUUCACUUGGUUGAUGUUUAAGUGAUUGAUUGAGUUCAUAGUGUUUGAACCUCACCUUAAUGUCUAAUAAUCAAGAUCAAACUUUCUUCCUAACACAGCAAUAUUGCACGGUAAGGCUGGCUCACAGUUGAGAGGAAAUGCCAGCUCCAAGAAGGCAAAGGGCUGUAAUUACUUAAAGUGACCUCAUUUAAGAAUUUUGAGUGACCGUUUGAUUGUCAGAGUUCUGCAUACAUUGUAUUUUAUUUCUGUCCAGGUUUCCACUGGCUGAACACUUUGGUUAUGAGCUGAGUGUCAAGGCCAAAUAUUGCAUUUUGAAACUGAGAGUCAAACUAGCAAUUUAAACUCCUGACUUUCGUACCUGUCUGUGAAAUUCAGAUAAAUGAAAUGGAAAUCUAACAGGGCUGCUGUGUUACGAAAUACUGACUCUGCCUCUCCUUGUAGAGAAAUCUCUAAGGGAAAAUCAUUUUAGCGUAUAUAAAUAUAUUAAAAAUAUAUAUAACACACUUUUCCCCCCCUUUUUUUAGUCUUCCUUUCACUUUCUUGAUUUGCCCCAUUUGUGAUUUCCCAUUCAAAUUAGGCUUGUUUGAAACCAAGGGUCCCUUGAAGAGGCACUUGUGGUAAUUUUGAAAAUGAAACCUACUCCUUGAAAAUACUUCAGCCUAGCUUGUCCACCUUCCUGUCUGUUUCUGCAGCUGGUGUUUCUCACCACUUCCCCACAUCCUCUCUUCCCCUGGGGCCAGCUCCACGGUGGCUGCCUAGUUUAGGCUCUUGCCCUGAUCGCGUUCCCCACCUCCUUUACCUGCAGAGGUGUCCUUCCUGACCCCUCGCUUUGGGUGCCCGAGAGUUCUCCUCCUCCGUCUCUGGCUGCGGUAGAGGAUAGGGGCCCCCUCCCCUCAGAGCAUAGGAGAGCGGGUGUCUGUGCAGACGCAGGCUGGCUGCCCAGGGCACUGACAUGGGUUUGAGGCAUAGGAGGACUCCAAAGCCUUGCUAACAAAGCUUGCAUGCCCAUGAUCUAGUGGCACCAGAACUACUUCUACUGUCCCCCAGGAUCCAAAUUUGAGAACUGACUUUCAGCUUGCUCUGAAUCAAUCAAUGGUAAAAGGCAGAUCAUAAAAUCCUCAAGAACAUGGAUCAUAUGUAUUAUUUGGAUGCUGUCUACCAAUGCUCACUGGCUUUCAUUCUUAAUAAUUGUUAUUUUAAAAGGUUUCUCUUCUUAUAAAUAUUUAUUUAUUGUAGCAAAUUUAGGCAAAAACCAGUUAAAAAAGAAAAAGAAAGAAAAGAAAAAGAAUAAUCCCACUGCUCUCAAAAAAAUAAUCCCCGUUACUUUUUUGGUGUACCUCCUUCUGCCAUUUCUUAUAUACACAGGUGCAUGCAGACAUAUGGGCUUAUGUAAGACACUGUUUUGGAAGUCUGAGCUGCUUUUCAGUUAAUACUUACUCUGAUCAUCAUUCCAAGGCAUUAAAUAUUCUCCUAGGAUAUCUUUUAAACGUCUGUAGAACAUCUUUUGUAUGAAUGAACGAAAGUGUUUAUUUAGGCAGUCCUUUCUGGUUGGACAUAUAUGUUGUUUCCAGUGUUCCUGCCACUCUUGAUAUAGCAUUAAGGUGAGCUUUCUUGUAGCUAUUGCCCACGACUCUGGAACAUUUCCUAGGAAAAAUUCCCUAAAGUGGAAGUGCUGGGUCAAGCUUUUUUUUUUUGAAGCUUUUGGUGCAUAAUAAUAUUUACUUUUGUUUCU